This 221-nucleotide ribosomal RNA is filed under the name uncultured bacterium. Its description in RNAcentral is "partial 16S ribosomal RNA". It matches the Rfam family "Bacterial small subunit ribosomal RNA", at positions 15 to 228 of the family's 1533-position model. The record is from RNAcentral.
GAUCCUGGCUCAGAUUGAACGCUGGCGGCGUGCCUAAUACAUGCAAGUAGAACGCUGAAGGAGGAGCUUGCUUCUCUGGAUGAGUUGCGAACGGGUGAGUAACGCGUAGGUAACCUGCCUGGUAGCGGGGGAUAACUAUUGGAAACGAUAGCUAAUACCGCAUAAGAGUAGAUGUUGCAUGACAUUUGCUUAAAAGGUGCAAUUGCAUCACUACCAGAUGG